Molecule: ribosomal RNA, 184 nt
Filed under: uncultured bacterium
Lineage: Bacteria
Description: partial 16S ribosomal RNA
Rfam family: Bacterial small subunit ribosomal RNA
Source: RNAcentral
AGCAGUAGGGAAUAUUCAACAAUGGGAGCAAGACUGAUGGAGAACGCCGCGUGUGUGAUGAAGGGUUUCGGCUCGUAAAGCACUGUUGUAUGAGAAGAAUGUGCUUGAGAGUAACUGUUCUAGUUGUGACGGUAUCUUACCAGAAAGGGACGGCUAAAUACGUGCCAGCAGCCGCGGUAAUACG